This 454-nucleotide ribosomal RNA is filed under the name uncultured bacterium. RNAcentral describes it as "bacterial SSU rRNA". It matches the Rfam family "Bacterial small subunit ribosomal RNA", at positions 340 to 786 of the family's 1533-position model. The record is from RNAcentral.
UACGGGAGGCAGCAGUGGGGAAUAUUGCACAAUGGGCGCAAGCCUGAUGCAGCCAUGCCGCGUGUAUGAAGAAGGCCUUCGGGUUGUAAAGUACUUUCAGUCGUGAGGAAGGUGUUAAGGUUAAUAACCUUAGCAAUUGACGUUAGCGACAGAAGAAGCACCGGCUAACUCCGUGCCAGCAGCCGCGGUAAUACGGAGGGUGCGAGCGUUAAUCGGAAUUACUGGGCGUAAAGGGCACGCAGGCGGUUAAUUAAGUUGGAUGUGAAAUUCCCGGGCUUAACCUGGGAAUGGCAUUCAAGACUGGUUAGCUAGAGUCUUGUAGAGGGGGUAGAAUUCCAUGUGUAGCGGUGAAAUGCGUAGAGAUGUGGAGGAAUACCGGGUGGCGAAGGCGGCCCCUGGGACAAAGACUGACGCUCAUGUGCGAAAGCGUGGGGAGCAAACAGGAUUAGAUACC